UGAGAAUAAGCUGAAGGUAUUGAAA
Molecule: non-coding RNA, 25 nt
Filed under: Mus musculus (house mouse)
Lineage: Eukaryota; Metazoa; Chordata; Mammalia; Rodentia; Muridae
Source: RNAcentral